Molecule: ribosomal RNA, 253 nt
Filed under: uncultured bacterium
Lineage: Bacteria
Description: partial 16S ribosomal RNA
Rfam family: Bacterial small subunit ribosomal RNA
Source: RNAcentral
UACGUAGGGUGCGAGCGUUAAUCGGAAUUACCGGGCGUAAAGCGUGCGCAGGCGGUUUUGUAAGCCAGAUGUGAAAUCCCCGGGCUUAACCUGGGAAUGGCAUUUGGGACUGCAAGGCUGGAGUGUGGCAGAGGAGACUGGAAUUCCUGGUGUAGCAGUGAAAUGCGUAGAUAUCAGGAGGAAUACCGAUGGCGAAGGCAGGUCUCUGGGCUGACACUGACGCUCAUGCACGAAAGCGUGGGGAGCAAACAGG